AAGCACAUGAAAGCCAAGGCCCAGGCAGUUACUGCCACUGGCACUUUUUUGUGCUUCCUCCAAAGGACGCUUCCCAAAAGGAGCAUGAAAACGUGGGGCAGGGGUGAACCCUCUGGUCUCUGGGUCAGGAUGGUGUCAAAUAUUUGGGGAUGCGACCCUUAAGAAGAAUCAGGGAGGCAGGUUGGAAGGAGUCAGGAGUCAGAAUCCUCAGAAACAAAGCAGAAGACAUCACCAGAAGGAAUCUGAAUCUUUGAUCCCCACUUAUUCCCAGUCUGCAGGAUCCAGGCUUACUUCGCCUACGAUGCCACAACCACGAGAAAGGAGACUGGCUUCACUCAUUGAGCAUUCCUACACCUUCCAAGUGUCCUGUUCACUUUUCUUCUUGUUUUCCACUUGGAUACUGGGUUCAUCCAAUUGAAGACAUCAGGAGAAGGUUUGGGGCAAAAAGAAAGAGAAUGGACUGCCAGCAUGGGUUUGAUUCCAAGACCAGCCAUCUGGGAACUUGAACACAGUUUAUAGGCGGGAAAUGGCCCAUGUAGUCCUGGAUUAUAAACCGGUGGCUUUCUUUGCCAACUCACUGGAACCUUGGGAGCCCAGUUUUAACACUAUUUAUAACCUGCUCUGAGAUCAUGUCCCCAAAUACUAAUUGCAAAGGAUUUUAAUAUAAAGGUGCUCUUCAAUCACAGACUUUUCAUAAACAAAUACAUUUGGGAAACACUAGGUUAAAAGAGGUGAACAGGUGUCCCUACUCUAAGCACGCUUCCUUGGUUUUUUUCACGCAUCAACCAUUUCUUAAGUGUUUGGUAGCAUCAGGCACCAUGCGAGGCUCUGUGGGUGGGUUCUCAACACACUCAUAUGGUCCCUAUUCUCCAGCGAUAUAAAAAAUGGCACCAUGAUGCACUGUAAGUUUCCAAGAGGGGGCCAUAGUACGCAGUUUUCCCCAAUACUAUUUGACCACAGACACCUCCCUUUUUUAAAAAAAAAAAGGAGUAUGAUAAAUUCCCACAUACCCAUCACCCGGUUUCAACAAUUACCAACUCAUGGCCCAUUCUACCUAUCUGCACCUCCUACUUCCUUCCUCACCACCUGAUUAUUUUGAACAAAUACCAGACAUCGUAUCUUUUUAUCGGUAGAUUGCUCAUUAUGUGUCUCUAAAAGAUAAGGGCUCUUUGAAAUAACAUAAACCACAAUACUGUCAUUACAUUAUUGGUGAUUUUGA
Lynx canadensis (Canada lynx) is the source of this 1219-nucleotide long non-coding RNA. RefSeq lists it as uncharacterized. The transcript has 3 exons. NCBI's taxonomy places the organism in Eukaryota, Metazoa, Chordata, Mammalia, Carnivora, Felidae. The record is from RefSeq and is a predicted model, not a curated record.